AUGCACGGUCGAUUCCUCAUGCACCGGGGAGAUGGCAGAAAAGAUUGGGCCAAAGAAGAAUCUAGACACGCCUGCACCUGCAUUGCAAGGAAGAAACACCUCAAAGCUGCAACAGCGAUGGUAGUAGAUACUUCGCAGAUGCUGCGGGGAACCUACGCCUUAUCGGAGGCCAGAGCCGGAGGAGCUACAAGUCUAGAGAAGUCUGUGAUAAACCCAUGGAUACAAAUUACAAUUACAGUCCAACACAACACCGCGACGGUGACCGCUGAAAGUUACCGUGAAAGGUACCUCAGCUCCGCGAUAACAAUUACAGACAAAAGGCAUGUCGUGCUCAUCGCGAGUGACCGGAGAUAA
This 354-nucleotide ribosomal RNA is filed under the name Triticum aestivum (bread wheat). RNAcentral's name for it is "partial small subunit ribosomal RNA". Lineage: Eukaryota; Viridiplantae; Streptophyta; Magnoliopsida; Poales; Poaceae. The record is from RNAcentral.